This 1214-nucleotide small RNA is filed under the name Cryptococcus neoformans H99. RNAcentral's name for it is "Cryptococcus neoformans var. grubii H99 hypothetical RNA". The record is from RNAcentral. Lineage: Eukaryota; Fungi; Basidiomycota; Tremellomycetes; Tremellales; Cryptococcaceae.
CUGAUAUAACGACUUGAGACUCGGCUGUUUCAACUGUUACAACAAACUUUACCGAUUACCAAAAGAACCCGAGACUAUUAAAAGUGACAGUUUGCUAUAUACAACACGUACCAAAACAGUUUUCUCUUCUGUAUACUCACAUCAGCUAUACGACACCAAUAUCAGUGAUAAAGCACUCACAACUAUACCUCUGUAUCAAGUCCACGCCAAACAACUUCCAUCACAACCCAUACCUUCACCCCCGUCAGCACAGCGUGCUUGAUCCCCCUGGUUAUAGUCGAGAUAAUUUGAAGAAAAAGCAAAAGGAUGUGAAGCGGGAUGUUAGGAGCUGGUGUGGGUUUAGGAGGUUUUGAUCGGUGCUGAGACCGUUUGAUAAAGAAGGAAAGGAAUAACGGUAACCAUCCCGUACUGGUGCUCGAGGUGGCGCUUGGGACCAACCUCGCAACUGACACAUUUCCUUCGCUGUCUGCUUCUAAUCUUGCUUCCAUGUUUUUCGUCCAUGUCAUUCGCUUCUCAGAUCCUUUCGACGGCGAUCCUGGUGCUUGCAAACAGCUGAUUGAAGAUGAAUCUUUUUUAUCUUUCGGAUUCAAUAAUGGGGGUGGAUCGGAGGGGGACAAGAAGUCGGCGAGGGAGGAGAGGGCGAAGGAGACGUCCGAAGGGAUAGGAAUGGGCGGGUGGAAGGAUGCUUCGCUUUCGGUAUCGCUUUCGCUUGACAAACCAAGGCCGAUGUCUGGUGGAAGACAUAACACAGCACCAUGUAUCUGUUCUUCUUUUGCUUUUCGCUUCGACUUGAAAUCGGUGGCUAACCGCGCUCGCUUUAUCACCCCUCUUUGGCAGCGCACCAUCCUAUCGCCAGUAAUAUCCUCUUUAUCUCCCAUGAAACUGUAUGUAGAUCCCAGGGGAGGUCGAUGUCUCGGUAGAGUGUAUUUAUUUGCCAUUUUCGAUUUAUUUGAGAUGGAGAAUGACGAUUGUUGAAGGCGAGAGGGAAGCAAAAGUGGACGCAUGCCUUUGGCAAUAGACCAUUCAGGAGACGAAGGAAUGUCGACGAGAGUCAGAUCGGUAUCGGUAGUAUCUGGAAUGUCGACGAUGGCAACCUGAAUGCCGCAAUUUCUCGUGUUUGUCUUGAUAUAGAAUUCCGCUCGUUUUGGUCUCGAGAUUAUCUGCGCCCAGACUGUUUCCUCGUGUUUGCCCCUCCCAUGUAUUUCCCUCUCCAG